GGGGACUGCAAGGGAAUAAGUGAGGGGAUAUUGAGGGAUAGUGAUAAUGUGGGAGCAUUACUGAUAACUGGACCUAGGAAGUCUUAAGAAAAUUAAGUUACACAAAAUAUACAGAAUCUUUGGGAUUUUUUCCCACCUAUUUAAUUUUUUUCCUGUCUUAUUUCAGCACAGCUUCCAGUGGUUUUGAUUGCUUCAGUUCAUGCCUGCCUUGCCUAGGAUACACGUGUCAGAAGGCUUAGUGAUAGCUCCUGUGUACGUAAGAUCUGCUCUCCUGUUAGCCAGGGCUCUGCUGCUCUCAUUUGACCUCAUCCCUAGAAGGCUGAAACAUUAUUACGCACCAGCCUUCAGUUUUAUAAUUUCCUGAUUUAAUGACUCCUGACAUACCUGAGCCAAAUCAGAAAAUGUGUUUCCCGUGGAAGCUCUGCUCUGAAGGUCAGCAGAUCCCUUCGCUUUUGCACUGCUUUAUUGAUGUCACUUGAAGUGAGACACAAGUGAGUAUUUCUGCCUCCCUUUUAAAGCUCUGCCUAAAUGCUUUUCAUCAACAGCUCCCACUGGAAUCAGAUUUCUCCUUUGUUGUUCUGUUUCCUGCUUCUUCCUCUGGGGCCAAACAGUUC
RNAcentral lists this long non-coding RNA (614 nucleotides) under Junco hyemalis (dark-eyed junco). RNAcentral's name for it is "lncRNA (ENSJHYG00000004740.1)". The record is from RNAcentral. Lineage: Eukaryota; Metazoa; Chordata; Aves; Passeriformes; Passerellidae.